GGGUUGUGAGGUUAAGCGACUAAGCGUACACGGUGGAUGCCCUGGCAGUCAGAGGCGAUGAAGGACGUGCUAAUCUGCGAAAAGCGCCGGCGAGGUGAUAUGAACCUUUGACCCGGCGAUGUCCGAAUGGGGAAACCCAGUGUGUUCCGACACACUAUCGUUAACUGAAUACAUAGGUUAACGAGGCGAACCGGGGGAACUGAAACAUCUAAGUACCCCGAGGAAAAGAAAUCAACCGAGAUUCCCCCAGUAGCGGCGAGCGAACGGGGAGCAGCCCAGAGUCUGAAUCAGCUUGUGUGUUAGUGGAAGCGUCUGGAAAGUCGCACGGUACAGGGUGACAGUCCCGUACACGAAAGCACACAGGUUGUGAACUCGAAGAGUAGGGCGGGACACGUGGUAUCCUGUCUGAAUAUGGGGGGACCAUCCUCCAAGGCUAAAUACUCCUGACUGACCGAUAGUGAACCAGUACCGUGAGGGAAAGGCGAAAAGAACCCCGGCGAGGGGAGUGAAAAAGAACCUGAAACCGUGUACGUACAAGCAGUGGGAGCACCUUCGUGGUGUGACUGCGUACCUUUUGUAUAAUGGGUCAGCGACUUAUAUUCUGUAGCAAGGUUAACCGUAUAGGGGAGCCGAAGGGAAACCGAGUCUUAACUGGGCGUUAAGUUGCAGGGUAUAGACCCGAAACCCGGUGAUCUAGCCAUGGGCAGGUUGAAGGUUGGGUAACACUAACUGGAGGACCGAACCGACUAAUGUUGAAAAAUUAGCGGAUGACUUGUGGCUGGGGGUGAAAGGCCAAUCAAACCGGGAGAUAGCUGGUUCUCCCCGAAAGCUAUUUAGGUAGCGCCUCGUGAACUCAUCUUCGGGGGUAGAGCACUGUUUCGGCUAGGGGGCCAUCCCGGCUUACCAACCCGAUGCAAACUACGAAUACCGAAGAAUGUUAUCACGGGAGACACACGGCGGGUGCUAACGUCCGUCGUGAAGAGGGAAACAACCCAGACCGCCAGCUAAGGUCCCAAAGUCAUGGUUAAGUGGGAAACGAUGUGGGAAGGCACAGACAGCCAGGAUGUUGGCUUAGAAGCAGCCAUCAUUUAAAGAAAGCGUAAUAGCUCACUGGUCGAGUCGGCCUGCGCGGAAGAUGUAACGGGGCUAAACCAUGCACCGAAGCUGCGGCAGCGACGCUUAUGCGUUGUUGGGUAGGGGAGCGUUCUGUAAGCCGUUGAAGGUGUGCUGUGAGGCAUGCUGGAGGUAUCAGAAGUGCGAAUGCUGACAUAAGUAACGAUAAAGCGGGUGAAAAGCCCGCUCGCCGGAAGACCAAGGGUUCCUGUCCAACGUUAAUCGGGGCAGGGUGAGUCGACCCCUAAGGCGAGGCCGAAAGGCGUAGUCGAUGGGAAACAGGUUAAUAUUCCUGUACUUGGUGUUACUGCGAAGGGGGGACGGAGAAGGCUAUGUUAGCCGGGCGACGGUUGUCCCGGUUUAAGCAUGUAGGCGGAGGUUCCAGGUAAAUCCGGUACCUUUUAACGCUGAGGUGUGAUGACGAGGCACUACGGUGCUGAAGUAACAAAUGCCCUGCUUCCAGGAAAAGCCUCUAAGCAUCAGGUAACAUCAAAUCGUACCCCAAACCGACACAGGUGGUCAGGUAGAGAAUACCAAGGCGCUUGAGAGAACUCGGGUGAAGGAACUAGGCAAAAUGGUGCCGUAACUUCGGGAGAAGGCACGCUGAUAUGUAGGUGAAGCCCCUGCGGGUGGAGCUGAAAUCAGUCGAAGAUACCAGCUGGCUGCAACUGUUUAUUAAAAACACAGCACUGUGCAAACACGAAAGUGGACGUAUACGGUGUGACGCCUGCCCGGUGCCGGAAGGUUAAUUGAUGGGGUUAGCGGCAACGCGAAGCUCUUGAUCGAAGCCCCGGUAAACGGCGGCCGUAACUAUAACGGUCCUAAGGUAGCGAAAUUCCUUGUCGGGUAAGUUCCGACCUGCACGAAUGGCGUAAUGAUGGCCAGGCUGUCUCCACCCGAGACUCAGUGAAAUUGAACUCGCUGUGAAGAUGCAGUGUACCCGCGGCAAGACGGAAAGACCCCGUGAACCUUUACUAUAGCUUGACACUGAACACUGGUCCUUGAUGUGUAGGAUAGGUGGGAGGCUUUGAAGCGUGGACGCCAGUCUGCGUGGAGCCGUCCUUGAAAUACCACCCUUUAAUGGCUGGUGUUCUAACGUAGACCCGUGAUCCGGGUUGCGGACAGUGUCUGGUGGGUAGUUUGACUGGGGCGGUCUCCUCCCAAAGAGUAACGGAGGAGCACGAAGGUUAGCUAAUCCUGGUCGGACAUCAGGAGGUUAGUGCAAUGGCAUAAGCUAGCUUGACUGCGAGAGUGACGGCUCGAGCAGGUGCGAAAGCAGGUCAUAGUGAUCCGGUGGUUCUGAAUGGAAGGGCCAUCGCUCAACGGAUAAAAGGUACUCCGGGGAUAACAGGCUGAUACCGCCCAAGAGUUCAUAUCGACGGCGGUGUUUGGCACCUCGAUGUCGGCUCAUCACAUCCUGGGGCUGAAGUAGGUCCCAAGGGUAUGGCUGUUCGCCAUUUAAAGUGGUACGCGAGCUGGGUUUAGAACGUCGUGAGACAGUUCGGUCCCUAUCUGCCGUGGGCGCUGGAGAAUUGAGGGGGGCUGCUCCUAGUACGAGAGGACCGGAGUGGACGCAUCACUGGUGUUCGGGUUGUCAUGCCAAUGGCACUGCCCGGUAGCUAAAUGCGGAAAAGAUAAGUGCUGAAAGCAUCUAAGCACGAAACUUGCCCCGAGAUGAGUUCUCCCUGACCCUUUAAGGGUCCUGAAGGAACGUUGAAGACGACGACGUUGAUAGGUCGGGUGUGUAAGCGCAGCGAUGCGUUGAGCUAACCGAUACUAAUGAACCGUGAGGCUUAACCUUACAACGCCGAAGCUGUU
This 2931-nucleotide ribosomal RNA is filed under the name Enterobacter cloacae. RNAcentral's name for it is "bacterial LSU rRNA". It matches the Rfam family "Bacterial large subunit ribosomal RNA". RNAcentral also lists the same sequence under 1 other name. Lineage: Bacteria; Pseudomonadati; Pseudomonadota; Gammaproteobacteria; Enterobacterales; Enterobacteriaceae. The record is from RNAcentral.